AGUACGCUACAUCAGCCAGAACACGGGGCAGUUACACAGCGACGAAGCUUGGCUCUGUGUGUCCCAUCAGCAUGGUUCCUCCCAAAAAACUGAAAGAGCAAAAGGAUAAGCCCGAGACGAGGACACAGUUUUGGACACAGACAGUGAGUCCGCCAUCAAUCUGACACAUUAGGUUUUCACGAUAAAACAUAACCAGGGGACAAAUUUGCAUUCAAGAGGAGCGAGAUGUUACAGAGAGACCUUCCAGCAACAGGAAUGGAGUAAGAGAGUACAUUUAAUGUUUCUGUUUCAUUCUUCUUUAUACUACACAAUUCAUUUCAAAGCAAACUAUUGUAGCUUUUACACCGCUACAUUUAUUUGACACCGUACAAAUUUUAAUUUGACAUAAAACCCACAAUGAG
Gasterosteus aculeatus aculeatus (three-spined stickleback) is the source of this 401-nucleotide long non-coding RNA. The record is from Ensembl. Lineage: Eukaryota; Metazoa; Chordata; Actinopteri; Perciformes; Gasterosteidae.